GUUUACGACCACACCGGCCUGAGUACGCCUGAUCUCGUCUGAUCUCGGAAGCUAAGCAGGGUCGGGCCUGGUUAGUACUUGGAUGGGAGACUUCCUGGGAAUACCAGGUGCUGUAAGCU
This is a ribosomal RNA of Oncorhynchus tshawytscha (Chinook salmon), 119 nucleotides long. The record is from Ensembl. NCBI's taxonomy places the organism in Eukaryota, Metazoa, Chordata, Actinopteri, Salmoniformes, Salmonidae.